CCUACGGGAGGCAGCAGUGGGGAAUAUUGGGCAAUGGGCGCAAGCCUUACCCAGCAAUACCGCGUGAGUGAAGAAGGUCUUCUGAUUGUAAAGCUCUUUGAUCAGGGACGAACAGAUGACGGUACCUGAAGAACCAGCCCCGGCCAACUACGUGCCCACAGACGCGGUAAAACGUAGGGGGCGAGCGUUGUCCGGGAUGACUGGGCGUAAAGGGUGCGGAGGCGGCAUAAGAAGUUAGAAGUGAAAUACCCAGAGCUGAACUCGGGUGCUGCUUCUAAGACUGUUGAGCUUGAGUGCGGGAGAGGUGAAUGGAAUUACUAGUGUAGCGGUGGAAUGCGUAGAUAUUAGGAGGAACACCAGAGGCGAAGGCGAUUAACUGGACCGUAACUGACGCUGAGGCACGAAAGUGUGGGUAGCAAACAGGAUUAGAUACCCCUGUAGUC
Molecule: ribosomal RNA, 443 nt
Filed under: uncultured bacterium
Lineage: Bacteria
Description: partial 16S ribosomal RNA
Rfam family: Bacterial small subunit ribosomal RNA
Source: RNAcentral